Oxyura jamaicensis (ruddy duck) is the source of this 267-nucleotide long non-coding RNA. RefSeq lists it as uncharacterized. The record is from RefSeq and is a predicted model, not a curated record. The transcript has 3 exons. Lineage: Eukaryota; Metazoa; Chordata; Aves; Anseriformes; Anatidae.
CUUAGAGCUGAAGUGGAUGAAGUGGAGUCUGCUCAAAUGCGUGCUUCUAGCAGAAGAGAGAGGAAAGAGACUAUACUGUUGGCUGGCUGGGAUGCUGAUCUGCACAACCUAUAUUUGCACCUCAGCCAGGAUUAGCAGGAGGACCAGGCUGACUAAAACAAUGUCCCUUACAGGAACAGACAAACCACAGAUUUCUCCACAUCAAUGGAGAAAUCUUCAGUCCCUACCUAUUACCUCUACACUCCUCCUGCAACAUGAAGCUGCCAG